AUUGAACGCUGGCGGCAUGCCUUACACAUGCAAGUCGAACGGCAGCACGGAGCUUGCUCUGGUGGCGAGUGGCGAACGGGUGAGUAAUAUAUCGGAACGUACCCUAGAGUGGGGGAUAACGUAGCGAAAGUUACGCUAAUACCGCAUACGAUCUAAGGAUGAAAGUGGGGGAUCGCAAGACCUCAUGCUCGUGGAGCGGCCGAUAUCUGAUUAGCUAGUUGGUAGGGUAAAAGCCUACCAAGGCAUCGAUCAGUAGCUGGUCUGAGAGGACGACCAGCCACACUGGAACUGAGACACGGUCCGGACUCCUACGGGAGGCAGCAGUGGGGAAUUUUGGACAAUGGGCGAAAGCCUGAUCCAGCAAUGCCGCGUGAGUGAAGAAGGCCUUCGGGUUGUAAAGCUCUUUUGUCAGGGAAGAAACGGUGAGAGCUAAUAUCUUUUGCUAAUGACGGUACCUGAAGAAUAAGCACCGGCUAACUACGUGCCAGCAGCCGCGGUAAUACGUAGGGUGCAAGCGUUAAUCGGAAUUACUGGGCGUAAAGCGUGCGCAGGCGGUUUUGUAAGUCUGAUGUGAAAUCCCCGGGCUCAACCUGGGAAUUGCAUUGGAGACUGCAAGGCUAGAAUCUGGCAGAGGGGGGUAGAAUUCCACGUGUAGCAGUGAAAUGCGUAGAUAUGUGGAGGAACACCGAUGGCGA
This 695-nucleotide ribosomal RNA is filed under the name uncultured Oxalobacteraceae bacterium. RNAcentral's name for it is "bacterial SSU rRNA". It matches the Rfam family "Bacterial small subunit ribosomal RNA", at positions 28 to 718 of the family's 1533-position model. The record is from RNAcentral. Lineage: Bacteria; Pseudomonadati; Pseudomonadota; Betaproteobacteria; Burkholderiales; Oxalobacteraceae.